Molecule: ribosomal RNA, 380 nt
Filed under: uncultured bacterium
Lineage: Bacteria
Description: bacterial SSU rRNA
Rfam family: Bacterial small subunit ribosomal RNA
Source: RNAcentral
CGGUAAUACGUAGGGUGCGAGCGUUAAUCGGAAUUACUGGGCGUAAAGCGUGCGCAGGCGGUUAUACAAGACAGGCGUGAAAUCCCCGGGCUUAACCUGGGAAUGGCGUCUGUGACUGUAUAGCUAGAGUGUGUCAGAGGGGGGUGGAAUUCCACGUGUAGCAGUGAAAUGCGUAGAUAUGUGGAGGAACACCAAUGGCGAAGGCAGCCCCCUGGGAUAACACUGACGCUCAUGCACGAAAGCGUGGGGAGCAAACAGGAUUAGAUACCCUGGUAGUCCACGCCCUAAACGAUGCUGACUAGUUGUUGGGAAUUUACAUUCUCAGUAACGUAGCUAACGCGUGAAGUCAGCCGCCUGGGGAGUACGGUCGCAAGAUUAAA